ACUUGUGUAGGAUAGGUGGGAGGCUUUGAAGCAGAGACGCCAGUCUCUGUGGAGCUGUCCUUGAAAUACCACCCUGGUGACUUUGAGGUUCUAACCCAGACCCGUUAUCCGGGUCGGGGACCGUGCAUGGUAGGCAGUUUGACUGGGGCGGUCUCCUCCCAAAGAGUAACGGAGGAGUUCGAAGGUUACCUAGGUCCGGUCGGAAAUCGGACUGAUAGUGCAAUGGCAAAAGGUAGCUUAACUGCGAGACCGACAAGUCGAGCAGGUGCGAAAGCAGGACAUAGUGAUCCGGUGGUUCUGAAUGGAAGGGCCAUCGCUCAACGGAUAAAAGGUACUCCGGGGAUAACAGGCUGAUUCCGCCCAAGAGUCCAUAUCGACGGCGGAGUUUGGCACCUCGAUGUCGGCUCAUCACAUCCUGGGGCUGUAGUCGGUCCCAAGGGUAUGGCUGUUCGCCAUUUAAAGU
RNAcentral lists this ribosomal RNA (463 nucleotides) under Kingella kingae. RNAcentral describes it as "partial 23S ribosomal RNA". It matches the Rfam family "Bacterial large subunit ribosomal RNA", at positions 2132 to 2594 of the family's 2925-position model. Lineage: Bacteria; Pseudomonadati; Pseudomonadota; Betaproteobacteria; Neisseriales; Neisseriaceae. The record is from RNAcentral.